ACGCUGGCGGUAUGCUUACACAUGCAUGUCGAACGCAAAUUUAUUUGAGUGGCGGACGGGUGAGUAACACGUGAGAAUCGCCUUUAGGCGGGGAAUAACUUUCGGAAACGAUAGCUAAUGCCCCAUAUGCUCGCAAGAGUGAAAGGAGUAAUCCACCCAAAGAGAAGCUCGCGGCUGAUUAGCUAGUUGGUAAGGUAAUGGCUUACCAAGGCGACGAUCAGUAGCUGGUUUGAGAGAACGAUCAGCCACACUGGAACUGAGACACGGUCCAGACUCCUACGGGAGGCAGCAGUGGGGAAUUUUCCGCAAUGGGCGAAAGCCUGACGGAGCAAUACCGCGUGAGGGAUGAAGGCCUUUGGGUUGUAAACCUCUUUUAUCAAGGAGGAAGUUCUGACGUGUACUUGAUGAAUAAGCAUCGGCUAACUCCGUGCCAGCAGCCGCGGUAAGACGGAGGAUGCAAGUGUUAUCCGGAAUCACUGGGCGUAAAGCGUCUGUAGGUGGUUUAAAAAGUCUGCUGUUAAAAAUUGAAGCUUAACUUCAAAGAUGCAUUAGAAACUUUUAAACUCGAGUAUGGUAGGGGUAGAGGGAAUUUCCAGUGGAGCGGUGAAAUGCGUAGAUAUUGGAAAGACCACCAAUGGCGAAGGCACUCU
RNAcentral lists this ribosomal RNA (650 nucleotides) under uncultured cyanobacterium. RNAcentral describes it as "bacterial SSU rRNA". It matches the Rfam family "Bacterial small subunit ribosomal RNA", at positions 33 to 727 of the family's 1533-position model. Lineage: Bacteria; Bacillati; Cyanobacteriota. The record is from RNAcentral.